This is a long non-coding RNA of Benincasa hispida (wax gourd), 726 nucleotides long. RefSeq lists it as uncharacterized. The record is from RefSeq and is a predicted model, not a curated record. Lineage: Eukaryota; Viridiplantae; Streptophyta; Magnoliopsida; Cucurbitales; Cucurbitaceae.
CCAAAAUAAGAGGAGAGAGAGAAAAUAUUGUCAUAAAUGCUAAUUUUCAUAUUUUGAACAAUUACAACAGUUUUUAAUGUCACUGAUAUACGACAGCUAUUAAUUGUCAUUAAAAAAAAAGUGAUUUUUUUAUUGUGAAAAUAAAAAAUAAGUAUUCUUUUCCUUUUAAAAAAGUUAGAAAGUUAGACCCUCAUUUGUUAUAUUUCACGAUGUGGGUUUUCACAGAAGGUCAAUGCUACUAUGGUGUGGGUCGCUGUUCAGGUGUCACUGCUAUCCUUGACGUACAUCGUCUCCAUCCACGAUCGGUCGCCAUACUCCAGCCAUCGGACGUUGAGGUCAUGAUUGCUACACACCAUCACUGCCGUGUUGUUGCUGGAAGAGUUAGUUAGCAGGGCUCAAGGUAAUGGAUUGAAGAUUGCAAGUCAGAAAGAUUGAAUAAAAUCUUCUUUAAAUAAUGUAAUCGUACGUAGUCUAGUUUCGAGUUUGUCCAUUUCUUAGGCUUUCUUUUUCUAUUCCUUGAAAUAUUUCCAUUUCUUUCUGUAGUUUCUACUACCACUAAAGAAACCUGUGAAGGCUCUGAGUGAAAACGUGGAUCGUUUCAAUUUUUUGUUUUUCACAGAACGUAAAUUACAGAAUUUUAUUCUGCAAAAAACUAAUUUUACAACAUACUAACAAAAUUAGAGAAAAGGAAAAUUAAAAAUCAGGGUUUCAAGAAACCCUUACCUU